Molecule: long non-coding RNA, 1909 nt
Filed under: Homo sapiens (human)
Lineage: Eukaryota; Metazoa; Chordata; Mammalia; Primates; Hominidae
Description: HSALNT0395535
Source: RNAcentral
GCUUGAACCCGGGAGGCGAGGGUUGCAGUGAGCCGAGAUCGCGCCACUGCAAGACUCCGUCUCAGAAAAACAAAGUCGCACAGGAGAGUCACGUCCACCCCCUGGGCCACCGGACAGUCGCCACAGACCAGGCAGCUGAAUCCCCGCUCUACAGACAACCCCAUCAAGGCUGGGGCAGUGAGACGCUCUGAAGGCCACAGGCCCCCAGGAUCCCACCCCGUCCGUCUCUCCCUCCCUGCUGUCCCUCUGUGAGCCACACCCUGCGGCUGUCAGCGGCAGUGAUGGGGGCUGCAGGGGCUGGGGACAGAGGGGGAUGAGUUUCCAGCCAGGCGGCCUGGGAGGGUAGCUUUAAUCCCCACCUCGGUUUUGUCUUAGAAGCAGUUGCAUGGCUGUGCUCCAGGCCGUCCAGGGUUCAGGCUGAGCCACCGUCUAGGUCUAGACGUCAGUGUCCAUCAGGACCUGGCGUGCCCUGCAAGCAGACAUGUGCUCCUUCGACCUCCGUCAACCCUGGAGAUGAAGCAGGGAAGGGGCCCUGGCUGGAGGCUUGGACAUCCAUCCGGAGGGGCGGAGUGGCCUCGAGGCGGUGUGUGAGUCCCCGGGGAAGAUGCAGGGGACGCUGGGUGGCCGGUGGCACGAGUGAGGCUCGGGGUCCCGCAGCCCCCCGUGGUGUGGGUGCCUGAGUUGGGGGGUCCUCGAGGAGGACAAGGGAGGGAACUGAAGGGGGCCAGGACACCCGGUAGCUUGGCUGCCGGGGGCUCUGUGAUAUGCUAAGUCCCUCCUGCUCACCACUAAACCCAAGAGGAAAAGGAAUUCCUGGCAGAGUCCAAUUUAAAGUCAACAAACAAACAAUGUGGGAAGGAGAGAAGGAAUCCCAGGAAUGUGGGCGAGGUCCUCCUCCCGCCGGGGCCACCCUGGACCCGGCGAGAAAUCGAAGGUCCCCCAAGGACCCACGUCCAGGAGCCAACAGCCUCUCUGUGCAAACCAGACAACCCUGCAGGAACUGUGCUUGAAGAAACCGUGGAAACUGCCCCCAACCCUCCCGUCUCUAUUUCUUUCUCUGUUUUAUUAUCUCAUUCUUGGCUGUGAGGUAAACAGGAGAAAAUGAGAAGGUGGUUCUGGAGGACCCGACCGAAUUUGCUUUCGUGACAGGGUCAAGCGCCCUUUCCUCGCCGGCCGCAGCCCUCACCAAAGGGGAUUUGGGGGCCUCCGGACAGGGGUCCUGAAGGUUUUGAAUUGUUCAAUCUCUGGGGGUACAGGAACCCCUGCAGGAGGUUUCAAAGGCAAGAGUUUCGCAGAGAGAAAAAAACCAUGAACUUUGCAGGUUGGUGGCGGAAUCUGGUGAUUUAAGAAAACGUGUUUAAGCCUCGGCCGGGCCGCGCCUGGGCUGUCUGCGGUGCUCUUCCGGAAUUCUCUACAAUAUCUGGAAGUGACCAAGAAAAUUCCAGAACCCGGAGGCUGCGCCGUGGAGAUAAACAUGGGCACCUGGGAAGGAACUGCUGGACCAGCAGAAUGAGGGGCCAACGCCAGGGGCAGCACUGCCCGGCCACAGAGGACUGUGGCCCCACAGAUGACACCCUCAGCUACCAGCUCCUGCAUCUGGAAGAUGACCAGGAGGAGGAAGGACGGUCUGCAAGUGUUCAAAGUGAUGUUUCCAGGCCGGGCGCGCUUGUAAUACCAGCAUUUGGGAGGCUGAGGCAGGCGGAUCACCUGAGGUCGGGAGUUCGAGACCAGCCUGACCAACGUGGAGAAACCCCGUCUCUACUAAAAAUACAAAAUUAGCCAGGCGUGGUGGCGCAGCUACUCGGGAGGCUGAGGCAGGAGAAUCGCUUGAACCCGGGAGGCGGAGGUUGCGGUGAGCUGAGAUUGUGCCAUUGCACUCCAGCCUGGGCAACAAGAGUGAAACUCCGUC